Molecule: long non-coding RNA, 1377 nt
Filed under: Androctonus crassicauda
Lineage: Eukaryota; Metazoa; Arthropoda; Arachnida; Scorpiones; Buthidae
Source: RNAcentral
GAAAAGUUCAAGUAUUUAGAAAAUAAAUUACAAUAUCUAAUACAAUCAAAAUUACAUUUCUUUGUAUUAUUUACAUAACUUACAUUAACAUACUACACUAGAACUCUAUAUGUUUAUGUAAAAUUAAAUAAACAUAUUAAAAAUUGGAGCAGAUUGAUAAGAUAGAUGGAAUCUCAUCAAAAUGCAUAAAUGAGAUAUAUGAAGAUUGUGUAGGAAAAACGUAUCGUAAGAAAGAAUGUAUAAUCGAUGUUUCUUUAAUUAGCUAAAAAUUUUUAUCCUUGAAAGUUUGUUUUUAAUAAUACAUUUUGUAAUAUUUUAUCGUUCUGUCUUAAAAUUUAUGCAAUUAGUUUUGUUCUUGCCUUGAUUGAUGAAUAAAAUAAAUUGUUCCCCAAAACACUUAUUUUCAGUAAAUUAACAGUUACUAGAAAAUCUGCAUAAACAAUAAUAACUAAUUUCUGUCGUUCAAUUUUUCUCCUCAAGCUUGGGAACACCUUUAUGAAUUUCCAUCGACGACGUGUCACGUUUGUGUCUCACUUGUGCAGGAAAUGGUCUACAGUACCCUCUGGGGAAUAUAAAUGCACGUAACACCAAUAUUUAAUAAAAUUGAAUAUAUUAGUAAUUUUUGAAAAUAAUUGUUAUAUAACAACUCUUAAAAGAUUAUUAAAUAUAAAUAAAUUGGAUUGCAGAAAUAAUAUGCAAUAGACUAAAGAACUACAAAUUACCCGCUUUUGACGGGGGAUGUAAUAAAAUUCAAAAUAAGCUUUUUUAAUUGUUGAACUACAUAAUUAAUCACAACUGAAAUAAUUCUCUAUUUAAUCUAUCAUGUUAAUGAGAAGUACAUGGAGUUUAUUGAUGAAAAAUGUCUUUUCAGAUCACUUAAGGAAACCUUCAACAUUAGUCUUUAUUUGAGAAAAGUGUCGAGAAAUAAAUAUCUGCACGGUCAUCAUCAGACAAAUUAUAAUGACAAGGGGUCAUUUGCAAAUUGACCAAAAAUUUAAUUAAUUAAUAUUUUUUCUUUUUGGGAUGUACAGCUAUGGAGUUAUUUAUAAAUUAAAUCUGUUUUAUUUCAUCAUUAUGAGAACUGAUGAAAUGAUGCAAGACCCCUCGUCAAGUAAGAACCAAAGGGAUAUGACUUGCUUUACAAGAAAUUAUAAUUGGAAAGUCAUUGGGAAAACAUACUCAAUGAAGUUAGUGUGUAUGAUGUGUGUGUGUGUGUGCUCAACAGACAUUACUAAUCACAAAAAGACUAUUUUUAGGCUCACCGUUGUGCUUGACCUCAAUCCUGAUGGUUAGAGAAAAAGGAGAUUGGAGAGGACACGUGGGAAGACACCAGAUGCUCAAUCUAGAACAUAUCAAGUUAUCAUGAGAGAACAGGCG